UACGGAAGGGGCAAGCGUUGUUCGGAAUCAUUGGGCGUAAAGGGCGCGUAGGUGGUUCUGUAUGUCUACCGUGAAAGCGUACGGCUCAACCGUAUUUUGUCGGUAGAAACUGCAGGACUUGAGGCUGGGAGGGGCUGGUGGAAUUCCCUGUGUAGCGGUGAAAUGCGUAGAGAUGGGGGAGAACACUCGUGGCGAAGGCGGCCAGCUAGACCAGUUCUGACACUGAGGCGCGACAGCGUGGGGAGCAAACAGG
Molecule: ribosomal RNA, 253 nt
Filed under: uncultured bacterium
Lineage: Bacteria
Description: partial 16S ribosomal RNA
Rfam family: Bacterial small subunit ribosomal RNA
Source: RNAcentral